RNAcentral lists this ribosomal RNA (373 nucleotides) under uncultured bacterium. Its description in RNAcentral is "bacterial SSU rRNA". It matches the Rfam family "Bacterial small subunit ribosomal RNA", at positions 521 to 896 of the family's 1533-position model. The record is from RNAcentral.
UAAUACGGAGGAUGCGAGCGUUAUCCGGAUUUAUUGGGUUUAAAGGGUGCGUAGGUGGUGAUUUAAGUCAGCGGUGAAAGUUUGUGGCUCAACCAUAAAAUUGCCGUUGAAACUGGGUUACUUGAGUGUGUUUGAGGUAGGCGGAAUGCGUGGUGUAGCGGUGAAAUGCAUAGAUAUCACGCAGAACUCCGAUUGCGAAGGCAGCUUACUAAACCAUAACUGACACUGAAGCACGAAAGCGUGGGGAUCAAACAGGAUUAGAUACCCUGGUAGUCCACGCAGUAAACGAUGAUUACUAGGAGUUUGCGAUACAAUGUAAGCUCUACAGCGAAAGCGUUAAGUAAUCCACCUGGGGAGUACGCCGGCAACGGUG